UACAGAGGUCCCAAGCGUUGUUCGGAUUCAUUGGGCGUAAAGGGUGCGUAGGCGGCGAGGUAAGUCGGAUGUGAAAUCCCGGGGCUCAACCCCGAAACUGCAUUCGAUACUGCUUUGCUUGAGUACUGGAGAGGAGACUGGAAUUUACGGUGUAGCAGUGAAAUGCGUAGAUAUCGUAAGGAAGACCAGUGGCGAAGGCGAGUCUCUGGACAGUUACUGACGCUGAGGCACGAAGGCCAGGGGAGCAAACGGG
This 253-nucleotide ribosomal RNA is filed under the name uncultured bacterium. Its description in RNAcentral is "partial 16S ribosomal RNA". It matches the Rfam family "Bacterial small subunit ribosomal RNA", at positions 524 to 776 of the family's 1533-position model. The record is from RNAcentral.